RNAcentral lists this ribosomal RNA (467 nucleotides) under uncultured bacterium. RNAcentral describes it as "partial 16S ribosomal RNA". It matches the Rfam family "Bacterial small subunit ribosomal RNA", at positions 28 to 506 of the family's 1533-position model. The record is from RNAcentral.
GACGAACGCUGGCGGCGUGCUUAACACAUGCAAGUCGAACGGAAAGGCCCUGCUUUUGUGGGGUGCUCGAGUGGCGAACGGGUGAGUAACACGUGAGUAACCUGCCCUUGACUUUGGGAUAACUUCAGGCAACUGGGGCUAAUACCGGAUAGGAGCUCCUGCUGCAUGGUGGGGGUUGGAAAGUUUCGGCGGUUGGGGAUGGACUCGCGGCUUAUCAGCUUGUUGGUGGGGUAGUGGCUUACCAAGGCUUUGACGGGUAGCCGGCCUGAGAGGGUGACCGGCCACAUUGGGACUGAGAUACGGCCCAGACUCCUACGGGAGGCAGCAGUGGGGAAUAUUGCACAAUGGGCGGAAGCCUGAUGCAGCAACGCCGCGUGCGGGAUGACGGCCUUCGGGUUGUAAACCGCUUUCGCCUGUGACGAAGCGUGAGUGACGGUAAUGGGGAAAGAAGCACCGGCUAACUACGU